This 440-nucleotide ribosomal RNA is filed under the name uncultured bacterium. RNAcentral's name for it is "partial 16S ribosomal RNA". It matches the Rfam family "Bacterial small subunit ribosomal RNA", at positions 338 to 795 of the family's 1533-position model. The record is from RNAcentral.
CCUACGGGUGACAGCAGUGGGGAAUAUUGCACAAUGGGGGAAACCCUGAUGCAGCGACGCCGCGUGAGUGAAGAAGUAUUUCGGUAUGUAAAGCUCUAUCAGCAGGGAAGAAAAUGACGGUACCUGACUAAGAAGCCCCGGCUAACUACGUGCCAGCAGCCGCGGUAAUACGUAGGGGGCAAGCGUUAUCCGGAUUUACUGGGUGUAAAGGGAGCGUAGACGGCAGCACAAGUCUGGAGUGAAAUGCCAGGGCUUAACCACGGAACUGCUUUGGAAACUGUGCAGCUAGAGUGCAGGAGAGGUAAGUGGAAUUCCUAGUGUAGCGGUGAAAUGCGUAGAUAUUAGGAGGAACACCAGUGGCGAAGGCGGCUUACUGGACUGUAACUGACGUUGAGGCUCGAAAGCGUGGGGAGCAAACAGGAUUAGAUACCCCAGUAGUC